UUCAUUUCUUCUUCCAAACCGAUCAAGAAUAUCAACAAAACUAACCCAGAUCCUCAACAGCUGAUCGCUGUCACCACCACCACCAAUCUUGUUCCUGUCAAAUUGAACCCAAAAUCCUAACUCCUAAUUCUUUCCAAAAAUUCAACUGAAAUUCUACAGAAAAACCUUGCUUGGAUUGACUUCUGGUUAGCUGCUUUCUGAUGGGUGGAUCGUAGAAUUGAUGUGUUCCUUAAUUGUUGGCCUCUUGGAAUUGUUGUGGAUUAUCCAUGCGCUGAAUUCUUGUUUCCUGCUAAUUUACCAAAACCUUUUUACAAAUAUUUGCUACCAAAAUCAUUCCCUUGUAUUCUUACUAGGAAUUGCUUCUAUCAGCUGCCUUAACUCAAAUUUUGGUCUUGCUCUAUUUUCACCCCCAUUGAGCUUGAUUGCUUCUACUGUUUUUUGGGUUUGAUUUUUGCUCCAUAUUAAUGUCAAUUGUUCACUAUCUUCUUUUUGAA
Molecule: long non-coding RNA, 494 nt
Organism: Durio zibethinus
Lineage: Eukaryota; Viridiplantae; Streptophyta; Magnoliopsida; Malvales; Malvaceae
Source: RefSeq, a predicted model, not a curated record